AUGUAUCAUUAGCCCUAAUUCCCAAAUUCUUCCGAUAUAAUUUUUCACAAAUCCCUAGAAGACAUAUCCAGAGGAGAAGUUUUUCAAAACCUUACGGUGAUCAAAGCAAGGAGUAAAGAACAAUGAGAUUCAGAAAAGGAAGUAGAGUUGAAGUGUUUAGCCACAAAGAGGCAGCACCGUAUGGUGCGUGGAGAUCAGCCGAGAUUGUAUCGGGUAAUGGUCACACUUACGGUGUUAGAUAUUACUCUUUCGAGUUUGUUAACAACGAGGCGGUUGAGGAGAGAGUUCCGAGGAAGAUUAUAAGGCCGUGCCCGCCUCAAAUAGAUGUAGACAGAUGGGAAGCUGGUGAAUUAGUUGAGGUUCUUGAUAACAAUAUUUGCUGGAAAACUGCUACGGUUCUGGAGGAGUUACCUGGACGAUAUUACGCGGUUCGGUUGCUUGGUGCUGCUGUCGAAUUCACGGUUCAUAAAGUUAACCUCAGGGUUAGACAAUCUUGGCUAGAUGAAAUAUGGGUUGUGAUUGGAAAGGUAUCUUGUUCGCUGAAGUCAUCUACGCUGACUGGAUCAGAUGUACACCAGAAUGUGAAGCCUGUUUUGAAUAGUGUGGUGCCUCUGGAGACUAGUGUUGCUUCUUUAAGAAUGUUGAAGAGACAAUCACCUUGUGAUUGGGCGGAGUCUGCUGAAUCAUGUACGAGAAGUCCUAAGAAGAUAAGAUCAUUAGAGGAAGAGGGAUAUCAGCAUUGGUUUGAUACUGCCGCUUCUGGAUGUAUGGGUGGUAAAACGCAUGUGCAAGCUUCGUUGAACAAGAAGAAAAGUGAUUUCCGUCAAAUGGUCAGGGUAAGAUCAAAAAGGUUUAGUGAAUGUGUCGGUACAGGAAGCUCAGUCUCUAAUGGUUGUUAUGAUGAUACUGAUGCAUGCUCGGUUGGUAGUUGUAGCCCUAUUAGUUAUGAUGAGAGUGACAUGCCAACUUCUUUUCUAGAUGGUUCUAGUCGAGGUGCGGACUCUUGUAGUAGUGAUGCAGAAUCUUCAAAAGAAACAUUUGGGCUCAGAGAGGAAGCAGGUGGUGGAGCAGUGAGAUCCUGUAGGCAGGAACUAUACACUUACCGCAGAACACUGGGGAAGUUAUUCGCUUCUGGCCCCUUAAAUUGGGAUCAGGAAGCAUCACUAACCGAUCUCCGACUUUCUCUUAAUAUAUCAAACGAUGAACAUUUGACAGAGCUAAGAAAUCUAAAGUCUGCUGGUACCCACAGUUAAUUUUGUUACUGUAAAUCAUAUCUUUUUGAUCCCUUGACAGUCUUAUCUACAGGUGUUGGACAUACUUCCCUGCAAUGUGGAAGCAACUGUUAUACAUUGUUCUUUUUCCAGAGGAUUCUUUUAAUGAUUGUAUAGACAGCAGAGGGGAAAGAACAGUGUAGCAAUGUCAAGGUGUCUGCACUCUCCAGAUAUGAUUGCCUCUAGAGUUCUCUUAUUCUGAUGCUUGGGGUUUACUGAAUGGUGUAAAAGACGAUAUCUCUUCUUUCCCAAGUACAUAACUGAAAUUGUGCUAGGUUUUUUAUUUUGGCUAGACAUAAAUCAUUGUUUCAGGUGUCCUUGGACUAGCUAUAUGCACUUUGACCUGUUCCUAUCCUAAUGGUAACAUGUGUCUGUCUAUACCUGAGAGAGUAUUGAGUUGUGUUGAUGAUCAAUUAUUUUGAAAGUAGUAUUUGCUUUUUCAGGUUAUGACAUUUCAAGUAGACUUACAGAGAGAUGCAGGGAUUCAUAUGUUUAACAUAAAUCAAUUUUAUCCAGCUUGUUCAUUCCUCCAAUUGGGUUUUGACAUGCUACUUGUUUGUCAACUAUAACUUUAUAAGAUCCCUUGUGAAGAUGUUUCAUUCAUUUUCUACUUUAUCUGUCAUAUAUAAUGAUGUUUCUAUGAUGACUACGUUCUAUAUAAUGUAUGUUUUGUAGCA
Capsella rubella is the source of this 1948-nucleotide RNA transcript. RefSeq lists it as uncharacterized. The record is from RefSeq and is a predicted model, not a curated record. The transcript has 4 exons. NCBI's taxonomy places the organism in Eukaryota, Viridiplantae, Streptophyta, Magnoliopsida, Brassicales, Brassicaceae.